Molecule: ribosomal RNA, 301 nt
Filed under: uncultured bacterium
Lineage: Bacteria
Description: partial 16S ribosomal RNA
Rfam family: Bacterial small subunit ribosomal RNA
Source: RNAcentral
CAGCAGCCGCGGUAAUACAGAGGGUGCGAGCGUUAAUCGGAUUUACUGGGCGUAAAGCGUGCGUAGGCGGCUUUUUAAGUCGGAUGUGAAAUCCCUGAGCUUAACUUAGGAAUUGCAUUCGAUACUGGGAAGCUAGAGUAUGGGAGAGGAUGGUAGAAUUCCAGGUGUAGCGGUGAAAUGCGUAGAGAUCUGGAGGAAUACCGAUGGCGAAGGCAGCCAUCUGGCCUAAUACUGACGCUGAGGUACGAAAGCAUGGGGAGCAAACAGGAUUAGAGACCCGAGUAGUCCCUGUCUCUUAUAC